Long non-coding RNA from Lathyrus oleraceus (garden pea), 1649 nucleotides. RefSeq lists it as uncharacterized. The transcript has 3 exons. The record is from RefSeq and is a predicted model, not a curated record. Lineage: Eukaryota; Viridiplantae; Streptophyta; Magnoliopsida; Fabales; Fabaceae.
AAUCCCUUAACCAAUGAUGCCCCUUAAAACAAUCAAAAUAAAGGGUCAAACCCAAAGGAACAGAAGCAAAAAAACGAAAAGUAAUCGUCUCCUACUUCCAAAAUCCACACUUUUCAUAGAGAAAACAGUUCUUUCAUCCUGGAACUGAACGGAAAAUAAGUAAAAGAGGGAAACUUCUCAAUCAGUAAAGAGACACAACCAGCAUAACGAUAACUAUUCCUCAUUCGACCCAAGGUCAAGAAUGGAUCGUUCCCAGUCACUAGCAAACGAGAACCAACACGCACGAUUCGCUAAGAAAGCUUACCUGUUAUCGCUAAAUUGAAACGGUGAUUUGAGAAGUGGAACCUGUUCGUACGGAGGAUGCUUGGGGAUUUUUGUCUUCAUUCCAACUUGUGGUCCCUCCCUCAAUUCUCUUCAUCUCCAAGAAAAUUUUACUGUCGGAGAAAACAUUGAGCUUGUGAGCAUGGAUUUCACAUGGCUUUGGUGCGAUUCGUUCGGAGGUAAAAUGCUGCGGAAUUGGCGUUGUCGCGAUGUUUGAUUUCAAUCUGCUGUAGGAAUCCCAAGGAAUACAAAUGAUAAGCUUUUUGAUCCUUUCAGAAUUUUAUCUGAUAAAGCAAUUGGCUGGACAGGUUUGUCAUCCUGAAGUCUUACUGGAUUGCACUUCUUUAUCAUCAUCACUCUUGACAGGAAGGUCCUGACCCUUGAGCAAUAAUGUGACAGGUCCAAGACUUUUGACAUUUUCAUCAUCAGAACUGUUGGAACCUCUUGGUUUGGAUCGAAUAUGAAACCGAUAUUGGAGAUUCAUUACUUCUGCUUCUCAAAGCGAUCCAGUUUGUGGCAGGAUUUUUGUGGAAUUUCAUGAUGGCUGUUGGAAACUGAUUGAUUCUGGAGAGGGUUCUGAUGCUCCAUUGGCAUCAUUGGAUGUACAUGGAAUCAAGGAGUCCCUCUUGCAUAUGAUGUUACAAAGAAUUGAGAUAUCCUUCAAAGAAUCUAUUAGAAGAAAUGUCCAAAAUGAAGUGGAAAUGCAAAAUGGAAACACUGUCGGAAAACUCAAAAUAGAAGUAGUUGAAAUAGCCAUGGACCGAGAUUGCGGUACUGAUAUUUACUGUCCUACUUCUGUUUGCAUGGUUUUAUGAUUAUCAUUAUUGGACUGAUGCGAAUUUUAUUUUGCUUGCUUGGAGACGAAACAUGUAGGUUGGCGCUACUGCAAGGUUCGCUCGCCGGUCAGUUCAGGUUAAGCUCAAGGCAUAUCAAAACGAAUUGGUUUGUAUGGAAGUCGAGUCCCUUUCCAUGUGAAUUAAGCUUGGAUUAUCUAAAAGAUAUUUAUCAUUUUCAGAUUGUCCAUGCUAUCUUCGUAUCGUAGGUGAACCAUGGUCAUUCUCUACAUCUUUAGAAGAUGGAGUCUUCUCAACAGAUGGAGCGAUUCCAGACCGUUCCGUCCCGAAAUGACUAGCUGAAGCUGAACUAUAAGGUAUAUUUAUUUUGUCUGCAUUUUGAAUCUGGAGACUUGUUUUAAAGGUUAAGAACCGGAAACCUAUGAAGUUGAACUUUGUUCUCUUGAAGCUUUUUUCUAAAUUCUCGCCAUGCUCUAUGAUGGAGCCUGUAAAAGCCUUGAGACUAUCAAAUGAUGGCUGUGAAGUUUGAUGUUG